Molecule: ribosomal RNA, 284 nt
Filed under: Acinetobacter baumannii
Lineage: Bacteria; Pseudomonadati; Pseudomonadota; Gammaproteobacteria; Moraxellales; Moraxellaceae
Description: partial 23S ribosomal RNA
Rfam family: Bacterial large subunit ribosomal RNA
Source: RNAcentral
GGCCCGCCAUAGGAGGUAACAGCCCUGUAGUCAAAACUUCGUUCUCUCCAGAGUGGAUCCUGACUACGGCGGAACACGUGAAAUUCCGUCGGAACCCGGGAGGACCAUCCCCAAAGGCUAAAUACUCCCCAGUGACCGAUAGUGAACCAGUACCGUGAGGGAAAGGUGAAAAGCACCCCGGAAGGGGAGUGAAAGAGAUCCUGAAACCGUGUGCCUACAAGUAGUCAGAGCCCGUUAACGGGUGAUGGCGUGCCUUUUGUAGAAUGAACCGGCGAGUUACGAUC